CCUACGGGGGGCUGCAGUGAGGAAUUUUGCGCAAUGGGCGAAAGCCUGACGCAGCGACGCCGCGUGGACGAUGAAGGUCUUCGGAUUGUAAAGUCCAGUAAGCAGGGACGAAUAAGCAAGGGGUAAUAUUCCUUGUGAUGACGGUACCUGUCUAAAGCCUCGGCUAACUACGUGCCAGCAGCCGCGGUAAUACGUAUGAGGCGAGCGUUGUUCGGAAUUAUUGGGCAUAAAGGGCGUGUAGGCGGGGGACUAAGUUAGGUGUGAAAGCCACGGGCUCAACCCGUGAAUUGCAUCUAAUACUGGUUCUCUUGAGUUCGGGAGAGGAGAGCGGAAUUCCAGGUGUAGCGGUGAAAUGCGUAGAUAUCUGGAAGAACACCAGUGGCGAAGGCGGCUCUCUGGCCUAGGACUGACGCUAAGGCGCGAAAGCGUGGGGAGCGAACGGGCUUAGAUACCCCGGUAGUC
Molecule: ribosomal RNA, 462 nt
Filed under: uncultured bacterium
Lineage: Bacteria
Description: bacterial SSU rRNA
Rfam family: Bacterial small subunit ribosomal RNA
Source: RNAcentral